CGCGUAGGCGGACCUCUAAGUCGGAUGUGAAACCUGUCGGCUUAACUGACAGCCUGCAUUCGAUACUGGAGGUCUUGAGUACGGAAGAGGAGAGUGGAAUUCCAGGUGUAGCGGUGAAAUGCGUAGAUAUCUGGAAGAACACCAGUAGCGAAGGCGGCUCUCUGGUCCGAUACUGACGCUAAAGCGCGAAGGCUUGGGAGCAAACA
This 206-nucleotide ribosomal RNA is filed under the name uncultured bacterium. Its description in RNAcentral is "partial 16S ribosomal RNA". It matches the Rfam family "Bacterial small subunit ribosomal RNA", at positions 568 to 774 of the family's 1533-position model. The record is from RNAcentral.